This 164-nucleotide small nuclear RNA is filed under the name Carlito syrichta (Philippine tarsier). Its description in RNAcentral is "U1 spliceosomal RNA (ENSTSYG00000025734.1)". It matches the Rfam family "U1 spliceosomal RNA". From Rfam's summary of the family: U1 is a small nuclear RNA (snRNA) component of the spliceosome (involved in pre-mRNA splicing). Its 5' end forms complementary base pairs with the 5' splice junction, thus defining the 5' donor site of an intron. Lineage: Eukaryota; Metazoa; Chordata; Mammalia; Primates; Tarsiidae. The record is from Rfam by way of RNAcentral.
AUACUUACCUGGCAGGAGAGAUACCGUGAUCACCAAGAUGGUUUUCCCAGGGUGAGGCUUACCCAUUGCACUCCGGAUGUGCUGACCUCUGUGAUUUCCCCAAAUGUGGAAAACUCAACUGCAUAAUUUGUGGUCGCAGAGGACUGCAUUGGCACUCUCCCUUA